UCAAGAAUUAUAAUCUCAGGAUUAUAAUCUCGCGAUAAUAGAGUCCGCUAACCAAACGACCCCUAAGUUGUUAACAUAAUUUCGGUUUUUUUUUAUUCAGUGUAUUAUUAUCAACUUAAAUUCAUAGUUAAGUCAAGAAAUAUUAUUAUACUCUUUUUAUAAUAUUAUAAAGAAAAUGACACCCAACCUUUUAUUUGGCCUAGUAUAAUUCUCUUCAUCUGCCUCAUCAAUCAUUCAUUCAUUCUCUCUCAGCCUUAUCAAUGGCCUUCUCUCCAAAGUCAAAGCUCUUGUUCUUCUCUCUUGGCAUGUUCUUCUCCCUUUGUCUAUCCUUCUCUCCAAAGUCAAAGCUAUUAGUGUUGAUGAAGAGUCUCAUAUGAUUGAGUUCCAUGUUGGGUUUUUGUCUGAGAAGUUGCCAGCUAAUGAAUUUGAGGAUAUUCCCACUUGUAAGAAUAAAGGGUGCCAAGAUUCUACCCUUGCUUCAAUAUGAUGAGGACAAACGGAGCUCUAAGGUGCUGUUAUACUUCUUAUGAAGAAUGAAAUGUUGACUUGGCUUCAGGAAAGUAACUCUUCACGCAUGUGGAGUCUAUGUACCAUUCUAAGUUUUCAUGUUCAUAGUAGUCGGAAUGUAUAAUUCAUGUUAUCUACAACAGAGGAAAUUCUUCCUUAAGGGACAUCUAUCUUUGGUGUCUAUUCUUCUUGGCUGACUAUUUCUUUCUUUCCUCUUUCCAAUAUAAAAUCUGCAAAUAGUAAAUAAAUAACAGAUUCUUUCUUUGA
This is a long non-coding RNA of Lycium barbarum (goji berry), 774 nucleotides long. RefSeq lists it as uncharacterized. The record is from RefSeq and is a predicted model, not a curated record. Lineage: Eukaryota; Viridiplantae; Streptophyta; Magnoliopsida; Solanales; Solanaceae. The transcript has 2 exons.